Drosophila simulans is the source of this 4064-nucleotide long non-coding RNA. RefSeq lists it as uncharacterized. The transcript is spliced from 3 exons. Lineage: Eukaryota; Metazoa; Arthropoda; Insecta; Diptera; Drosophilidae. The record is from RefSeq and is a predicted model, not a curated record.
UAAAGAAGAGUUCAUUCCUUUUCUGUUCUUUGAGCUGUGAACACACAUAAAAAAGAUUUUCUCUGGUGUUUUUUUGGACAAAUUUUAUCAUCAAAAUUUCGCAUGAAACGAAAAUCCAUAAAAAAUUUUAAAAUCCAAAUAUUUCAGAAAAACUGAAGUACUUUAAAGGAGUCGGCGAAUAAAGUUGUUCUUGGCAUCUCCGCGGGUUCAUUGACCUUCCCGUCCGCGAUGUUGGUGGAUCAUUAAGAUCCAUUGAACGAAGUCCACCCAAACGAUUAGGAAUCGAAGGGAUAAAUAGCAAUAAUCAAGGUGCAAUGAAAUGUGCAACAACUAGGUGAAGUUAUACAAUUGUUUAUUAUACUAAAAGUACACCCAAACGAUCAGGAAUCGAAGGAUGGAAGUGUGCAAAAUAGAUGAAGUUGUAAAACAGUUUAUUAAACUAACAAUACACCCAAACGAUGGCGAAUCGCAAAUAAUGAAAAGGAUCAUCAAGGUGCAAUGAAAUGUGCAACAAAUGGUAAAGUUAUAAAAUUUAUUAUUAAACUAAAUGUCCACCAAAACGAUUAGAAAUCGAAGUGAUGAAUCGCGAAAAUGAAGAGGAUCAUAAAGGUGCCAUGAAAUGUGAAACAAAUAGGUGAAGUUAUAUACAAUUGCAUAUUAAAUUAAAAUUCCACAAAAGCGAUUAGAUAUCAUAGGAUCAUCAAAGUCCAAUGAAAUGUGCACCAAAACGAUUAGAAAUCGAAUGGAUCAAUCGCGAUAACGAUGAGGAUCAUAAAGGUGCAAUGAAAUGUGCAACAAAUAGGUGAAGUUAUACAAUUGUUUAUUAAACUAAAAUUACACCCAAACGAUCAGGAAUCGAAGGAUGGAAGUGUGCAAAAUAGGUGAAGUUAUACAAUUGUUUAUUAAACUAACAGUACACCCGAACGAUUAGGAAUCGAAGUGAUGAAUCGCGAAAAUGAAGAGGAUCAUCAAGGUGGAAUGAAAUGUGCAACAAAUAGGUGAUGUUAUACCAUUGUUUAUUAAACUAAAAUUACACCCAAACGAUCAGGAAUCGAAGGAUGGAAAUGUGCAACAAAUAGGUGAAGUUAUACAAUUGUUUAUUAAACUAAAAGUCCACCCAAGCGAUUAGGAAUCGUCGGAUCAUCAAAUUCCAAUGAAAUGUGCAACAAAUGGUAAAGUUAUUAAAUUGAUUAUUAAACUAAAUGUCCACCAAAUCGAUUAGAAUUCGAAGAGAUGAAUCGCGAUAACGAUAAGGAUCAUAAAGGUGCAAUGAAAUGAAUCGAAGGAUGAACGCACUUUAGCCGAAGUAGUUUGCUGUGGAAUGUGUACGAAAUUGAAGGUACCGUAGUGAAAGGAUAAUUGAAGUAGGAAAUGGAGUGCAGCGACCCCAACACCUAAUUAUGAAAAUUGAGGACGACUAAGGCAACAUUAUUGAUAAAUAAUAAUGCCGAGCAAAAUGACCGGAGGGAGCGAAUUUUUGUCAACGGCAGCUGGUGCCGCUGGAUUGACAGCUUUUGUUUUCGUAUUAACUACAAGCUGUAAUUUGCGGCAAAAACACAGCAAUUAACAGGCAAUUGCAGCACGGCAGCCCUCUUUUGUCUUCGGCCCCCAUGGCACACUAAACUAGUUCAGUCGGUCCGUCUCCGCCUCCGUCGCUCCUAUCCGGUGCGGUCCGAGGUUCUCGCGUUCGUCUCCGGAUUUGGUGCGACUGCGGAACGCCCACCACCACGCCUUUCAGAACCACUGAUUGCCACACUGGAGAAAAACUCUGGUCGAUGUGACGGUAUUUUAACGAAAUAGGGAGCAUGCAAAUUUCUGAUUGGAAUAGUAACUCCUGAUGGAUUUUUUUUAUUAAUUUUUCGUGAUUUUAAUAUUUUUUAUAGUUUGCUUCUGUGAGGACCCACAAUUUAAUUGUAUCCUUUUCGGGCACGAUUCUAAUCUCUUCAAACGUCUUGCUUUAUAAGCAAAUUUCCAAGUGUUCAUUUAAAUUUAAAUCUGGUCGAAGCAACGGUAUUUUAAAGAAGUGGACUAAUAGUGAGGAUGCUUAUUUCUGAUUGGAGUAGUACCACCUGAAGGAUUUUUUAUAAAUUUGUUGUGAUUUUAAUAUUUUUAUAGCAGGAUGCUUAUCUCUUCGUCUUGCUUUAUAAGCAAAUUUCCUCGUGUUCAUUCAAAUUUAAAUCUGAUUUCUAGGGGAAAUUUGAUUUGUUCGUGGAUUUUGGUAUAAAAUAGAAGCGUUUCAAUCAAUUUAAUAUGUACAAUUCCACUAAUCUUCGCUUUUUUUAACUUUUAAAAUUCAAAUGCGUGUAUCAGAAUAAUUUUUAAAAAUGUUGUACGAAACGCACAGAUAGCUGGUCGAUUCAACGGUAUUUUAGCGAAGUGGAUUAAUUGGUAGCAUGCAAAUUUCUGAUUGGAAUAGUUACACCUGAUGGAUUUUUUUUUUUUAUUAAUUUUUCGUGAUUUUAGUAUUUUUAAUAGUUUGCUUUUGUGAGGACCCACAAUUUAAUUGUAUCCUUUUCGGGCAGGAUGCUAAUCUCUUCAAACGUCUUGCUUUAUAAACGAAUUUUCAAGUGUUCAUUUAAAUUUAAAUCUGGUCGAAGCUACGGUAUUUUAACGAAGUGGACUAAUAGUGAGGAUGCAAAUUUCUAAUUGGAGUAGUACCACCUGAAGGAUUUUUUUUUUAUACAUUUUUUGUGAUUUAAAUAUGUUUAUAGUUUUCUCACUAUUUAAUUGUAUCCUUUUCGGGCACGAUGCUUGUUUCUUCGUCUUGUUUUAUAAGCAAAUUUCCUAGUGUUUAUUCAAAUUUAAAUCGGAUUUCUAGGGAAAUUUGGUUUGUUCGUGGAUUUUGGUAUAAAAUAGAAUCGUUUCAAUCAAUUUAAUAUAUACAAAUCCACUAAUCUUCGCUUUUUUUCUAGCAUAAAACUUGAGAAACUCAAAAUUUAAAUGCAUGUACCAGAAUAAUUUUGAUAAAUGUUGUACGAAACGCACAAAUAUCUGAUCAUAAUGAUUACUUGCAAAUGGAUGAAUUACAAUAUUAACUAUUAAUUUCCUAGUUGAAGUAGGGUACAAUUUAUGAUAAAUUAAUGACGAAUAAUUCUAUGCGGAUCUUGCUUUGAAUCAUUUUUAAAUUUUAUUAGUUGCAUAUUUUAUUCAUGCGUUUUUUAAGCUUUCCAUGCUUGAUGUACAUAUUUUUCGUUCGAUAGUCUUUUUUUAGUCAACCCAAUAUUGAACACUAUUAUGAAAUGAUUAAUACGGGGUCAACGAUACGUCGGAUGAUAGUGAUGUUGGAAACAAAUUUAAUAACAAUUUCUCAUAUAGAUAUUCCCUAACAAUUCGCCGUAUAAAAAUUCUUUUGAACACUAUUAAUAUCAAAUGAUUUAGCUUCUAUUUAUGAACGCGGACUGCAUAAAGAAUCAAUACCAACGAUCAUCGAUGGGCAACAAAUGCAUUUUCCCCGGUGCAUUUUCUGUCGUGGGCCGACUUGAGGCAUUAUAAUUAAUUGGAAAUCGGAGUCGAUCAAUCGGAUGGCAACCGCAAAAUUAAUAAGCAUGAAUGAUGCCGACGACGCGAGUGUUCGCAGUAAUUGUGGAUGCGCCUGCACCCGUACUCGAGCUCAUAGUCAAAGUGGAGCAGACCAGACCAGAUCAGACCAAGCCAACCCAAGCCAACCCAGGCCAGAGCUGACGGGCUAAUCAAAUUGCUGGCAAUCAUGGAGCCGUAUAAGCAAAUGUAGCAAUUUCAGUCAAACACCGAGAGAGCCGGCAACUUGAUAUGGCCAAGCUGCAGACGGCAACAACCACUUGUGGCUGCGACGCGAUUUGAUUCGAUUCGAUUCCAUUCCAUUCGAUUCGCCUUAACUGAACUCGACUUGGGCUGGCUGUGGAAACCUCAGUCGAGUCAAUCAAAUGCAAAAUUGCGGUUCUUUGUUGAUUGUUGUUAAAAUCGCACUGCCGCUACCCAGCAGCAGUUGCAGCAGCAGCAGCAGCGGCAACAUUUUGCAUUUACCAACUGUAACUAGGCUUUCCAUACCAAUUAGUUUGAUUGAUUCCCGCAGACUGCAGCCAAAA